Molecule: long non-coding RNA, 344 nt
Filed under: Populus trichocarpa (black cottonwood)
Lineage: Eukaryota; Viridiplantae; Streptophyta; Magnoliopsida; Malpighiales; Salicaceae
Description: long non-coding RNA (PTRI_LNC003710)
Source: RNAcentral
GGAGUGUUCCUAACAGUUGCUGCAAAGGAGUUCAGAAUGUCAACAACGCUGCUAGAACCACCAAGGACCGCCGAGACACUUGUAAUUGCUUGAAAACAACUGCCAAACAGUAUCAUAUAGUCAAUUUCAGGUUCGCAGCUGAUCUCCCUCGCAUCUGCAGAGUUAAAAUUCCUUACCGUAUUAGCGCCUCCAUUGACUGCUCCAGGUUUGCAUUUUUCACAACCUCGAUCUUGUCUUCGCUAUCGUGUGUGUAAUCGGUUUAUAUAUAUAGUAUUUUUUUCCUACUACUUGAGAAGAGAGUAGACUUUUCUUACUAAUAUUUCCUUCAAUUUUUACGAAGCAGG